RNAcentral lists this ribosomal RNA (1031 nucleotides) under Prolinoborus fasciculus. RNAcentral's name for it is "bacterial SSU rRNA". It matches the Rfam family "Bacterial small subunit ribosomal RNA", at positions 49 to 1068 of the family's 1533-position model. Lineage: Bacteria; Pseudomonadati; Pseudomonadota; Betaproteobacteria; Neisseriales; Neisseriaceae. The record is from RNAcentral.
UUACACAUGCAAGUCGAGCGGGGAAGAGUAGCUUGCUACUUUACCUAGCGGCGGACGGGUGAGUAAUGCUUAGGAAUCUGCCUAUUAGUGGGGGACAACAUUCCGAAAGGGAUGCUAAUACCGCAUACGUCCUACGGGAGAAAGCAGGGGACCUUCGGGCCUUGCGCUAAUAGAUGAGCCUAAGUCGGAUUAGCUAGUUGGUGGGGUAAAGGCCUACCAAGGCGACGAUCUGUAGCGGGUCUGAGAGGAUGAUCCGCCACACUGGGACUGAGACACGGCCCAGACUCCUACGGGAGGCAGCAGUGGGGAAUAUUGGACAAUGGGGGGAACCCUGAUCCAGCCAUGCCGCGUGUGUGAAGAAGGCCUUAUGGUUGUAAAGCACUUUAAGCGAGGAGGAGGCUACCUAGAUUAAUACUCUAGGAUAGUGGACGUUACUCGCAGAAUAAGCACCGGCUAACUCUGUGCCAGCAGCCGCGGUAAUACAGAGGGUGCGAGCGUUAAUCGGAUUUACUGGGCGUAAAGCGUGCGUAGGUGGCUAAUUAAGUCAAAUGUGAAAUCCCCGAGCUUAACUUGGGAAUUGCAUUCGAUACUGGUUAGCUAGAGUAUGGGAGAGGAUGGUAGAAUUCCAGGUGUAGCGGUGAAAUGCGUAGAGAUCUGGAGGAAUACCGAUGGCGAAGGCAGCCAUCUGGCCUAAUACUGACACUGAGGUACGAAAGCAUGGGGAGCAAACAGGAUUAGAUACCCUGGUAGUCCAUGCCGUAAACGAUGUCUACUAGCCGUUGGGGUCUUUGAGACUUUAGUGGCGCAGCUAACGCGAUAAGUAGACCGCCUGGGGAGUACGGUCGCAAGACUAAAAACUCAAAUGAAUUGACGGGGGCCCGCACAAGCGGUGGAGCAUGUGGUUUAAUUCCGAUGCAACGCGAAGAACCUUACCUGGGCCUUGACAUUAGUAGAAACUUUCCAGAGAUUGAAUGGUGCCUUUCGGGAAUCUACAUACAGGGUGCUGCAUGGCUGUCGUCAGCUCGUGUCGU